CCUGGCUCAGAACGAACGCUGGCGGCAGGCUUAACACAUGCAAGUCGAGCGCACUCUUUUAGAGUGAGCGGCAAACGGGUGAGUAACGCGUGGGAAUCUACCCAUCUCUACGGAAUAACACAGAGAAAUUUGUGCUAAUACCGUAUACGUCCCUCUGGGAGAAAGAUUUAUCGGAGGUGGAUGAGCCCGCGUUGGAUUAGCUAGUUGGUGAGGUAAGGGCUCACCAAGGCGACGAUCCAUAGCUGGUCUGAGAGGAUGAUCAG
Molecule: ribosomal RNA, 263 nt
Filed under: uncultured Bartonella sp.
Lineage: Bacteria; Pseudomonadati; Pseudomonadota; Alphaproteobacteria; Hyphomicrobiales; Bartonellaceae
Description: partial 16S ribosomal RNA
Rfam family: Bacterial small subunit ribosomal RNA
Source: RNAcentral